Molecule: unclassified non-coding RNA, 1657 nt
Filed under: Hevea brasiliensis (rubber tree)
Lineage: Eukaryota; Viridiplantae; Streptophyta; Magnoliopsida; Malpighiales; Euphorbiaceae
Source: RNAcentral
GAACUUCUUUCUUGAUACAACUCAAAAAAUGAGGCUUAAGGAGUUCACUCAAAAAAUGUCAUCACAGUUAUUUAUUUUGUGCAUGCCUUGCUAAUAAUCAACAAUGACAUGAAGGGGAUAGCUAUUUAAACAAGAUCCCAGUGACAUUAAGGUGAAAUGCAUUUAUGUGAUCAACAAGGUCCAUAGGAGAAGGCUGCAGCUGCAAAGCAUCCCAGACAUUAGACAUCAUGAAGAAACUCCAUAUGGGAGAAGCGCAGCAGCCACAAUUCUCCCUUCUUCGUUCAAUAUGUUGUAAGUUGAUGCAGCAUUCCUCUGCAACAAAAGUAAAAAAAUAGAUUGCAAUAGUGUCCAAGAGAAGCCAGCAACAAAUGCUGACGUAUGAAAAAUGCAAUCUGACAUGCAUAAUUGGUUGCUCUGUUGGAAUUAUUAGCUUAUCCAAUGGAAAUAAAACAUACUAUCACCAAAUCACUUCUACUGAUUACAUCAACAUAAUUUAACAUGUGCUAAUGUGUAUAAAUAAAUGAAAUUGCCAUCUACAUGGAAUCAUUGCCCAAUUUUCACUCGUUAGGUAGACAUGUUUAUGAUUGCAGAUUCACUUCUUUCAUUUGGCAACCACUUGUUUGUAAGGUUUUUACAAGCAAUCAAAACAAAGAUACAGACACAAACUCAUCCAUUUCCAUAAACAUAAUAAGUUACCGAGUCAAUGGAUUCUAAUUUCAUGCCAGUAGACCGAAUGAAGCAUCUGAGUUCUGGAUCUACUUGUUGAAUCUGCCUUCCACAUCCAAGAAUCAAAAUCUCUGGUAUUGGGCGCAAAAUGCGGAAGAUGGAUAAGCUUUCAGGAGUAAUCUGAGAUAGGUGUUUGGGAGACCAAGAUAGAAGCAAGUUGCCAACACAAAGCAAGCUACCUUCGUACUCGACCCCAUUCACUGUGAAUCCCGUGUUAGUAUACCCUUGAAAACGGAGUUGGUCCUGAGGAACAUUGUCAAUGAGAUUGAUCUGAUCGUAGAGAGAGAAAGCGCGUCUCAGCGAUGGCAAUGCUUGACUCCUUUCCUCUAUUGCGCGCUUUCGCAGACUUUGUAUCAGCUUAGGCAGUGUAGUCACCACUCUCUGUCGUAUUAUUGCCAUAUCUUCGUUUACACUUCUUUCAGCCAAAAGGCCAAUUUCAUCUCUUAUAGGGGAGGCUCAAGUAAGUACUCCAACUUAAUUUGGGUUCAAUAAAGCAAGCAUAAGUUAAAAUAGGGAAAGAAAGGGGAGAAGGAGGUCACAUCUCAACCACAAUAAUCUGAGAACAAUCUGUGCAGUGCGUGACGUUCGGGAAAGGAGCAGCGUCAGGUGAGCUAUGUCCUGUCGAUUUCGUCAGGUCCUCAGUCUGGCAGCCGAAGAAGGAGUCCUCUGUAUUGGCGUGUGAAGCUGCUAUUGGGACUCGUAGACGACAAUAAGGCCCGGUGAAGUUGGGUUCAAAUGGUGCUGCGGUAGAAAGCUGGGCACUCUCGGGAUUCUAUGAAAAUGGGGAAACGGCCAAGUGAAUUGGGCUAGCAGUGGCGGGUCGGUUAUUGGAGGGAGGCUGUGCUGCGGGUGAGGAGGAUGAGCAUAAGUUGCGUUUUUUAGCCAGGGAGAAUGUCGUUUUAGGGAGAUUAUGUGUAAGGCUUCCCCAUUU